RNAcentral lists this ribosomal RNA (253 nucleotides) under uncultured bacterium. RNAcentral's name for it is "partial 16S ribosomal RNA". It matches the Rfam family "Bacterial small subunit ribosomal RNA", at positions 524 to 776 of the family's 1533-position model. The record is from RNAcentral.
UACAGAGGGUGCUAGCGUUGUUCGGAAUUAUUGGGCGUAAAGGGCGCGUAGGCGGCCCUGUGUGUCGGGUGUGAAAGCCCACCUCUUAAAGGUGGAAUUGCAUUCGAAACUGCAGGGCUGGAGUGUCGGAGAGGAUGGCGGAAUUCCUGGUGUAGAGGUGAAAUGCGCAGAUAUCAGGAGGAACACCGGUGGCGAAGGCGGUUCUCUGGGCAUGUCCUGACGCUGAGGAGCGAAAGUGUGGGGAGCGAACAGG